RNAcentral lists this ribosomal RNA (396 nucleotides) under uncultured bacterium. RNAcentral describes it as "partial 16S ribosomal RNA". It matches the Rfam family "Bacterial small subunit ribosomal RNA", at positions 523 to 918 of the family's 1533-position model. The record is from RNAcentral.
AUACGUAGGUGGCGAGCGUUAUCCGGAUUUACUGGGUGUAAAGGGCGCGUAGGCGGGGGCGCAAGUCAGGUGUGAAAUCUAUGGGCUUAACCCAUAAACUGCACUUGAAACUGCAUCUCUUGAGUGCUGGAGAGGUAGAUGGAAUUCCUUGUGUAGCGGUGAAAUGCGUAGAUAUAAGGAAGAACACCAGUGGCGAAGGCGAUCUACUGGACAGUAACUGACGCUGAGGCGCGAAAGCGUGGGGAGCAAACAGGAUUAGAUGCCCUGGUAGUCCACGCUGUAAACGAUGAAUACUAGGUGUGGGGGGACUGACCCCCUCCGUGCCGCAGUUAACACAAUAAGUAUUCCACCUGGGGAGUACGGCCGCAAGGUUGAAACUCAAAGGAAUUGACGGGG